GCCGCUUCCCUGCUGCCUGAACCAGCCAGAUGUAGGACUCCGGGCCCUUGUUCUCCCCCCCCGGACCAGUGGGGGUUAUCCCGGUCCACCCCCUCACGGUCACCUCAGCAGGUGAUAAGCGGUUGAACAGAUCGGGCGGACUGGAGGUCGCUGGUGUGGCUGACAAAAUGGCGAACGACACGCACGCCUCAACCCUCUGCAAGGCCGAGAGAGAAACGGAGCUCAGACUCACCUGCAUUUUUGACGCCUUCUGGGAGAGGCUGGAACAGCUUGCGUGGCCCCCGGAACCGGGGACCCAGCCCGAAGCUACGCCACACGGCCCACUACGAGAGGCCCAAGAGAAUGUCCCGGCACACGCCGUAAGUUCCCUUGCUGGGCCCCACAGGCGCCUGAAAACGACCAACCCGAUGUCGGGUGAACAGAGUCACACCAAGAGUGAACGCGACCAGGCACAGGCAAAGCAUCUUAAGGGGACCCCCAAAGCACAGCGCAGAACACCGCCUUGCUCCCUGACAAUGAC
Molecule: non-coding RNA, 520 nt
Organism: Pelobates cultripes (western spadefoot toad)
Lineage: Eukaryota; Metazoa; Chordata; Amphibia; Anura; Pelobatidae
Source: the annotation of a GenBank genome assembly